UUGGAUGUGAAUUGAUUAUGUUUGGAUACACUUAUUUAAAAGUGAUUGGAUAAGCCUUUUAAUUGAUUUUGAACAU
Molecule: non-coding RNA, 76 nt
Organism: Medicago truncatula (barrel medic)
Lineage: Eukaryota; Viridiplantae; Streptophyta; Magnoliopsida; Fabales; Fabaceae
Source: Rfam